RNAcentral lists this ribosomal RNA (492 nucleotides) under uncultured bacterium. RNAcentral's name for it is "partial 16S ribosomal RNA". It matches the Rfam family "Bacterial small subunit ribosomal RNA", at positions 29 to 507 of the family's 1533-position model. The record is from RNAcentral.
AGUGAACGCUGGCGGUAGGCUUAACACAUGCAAGUCGAACGGCAGCACAGUAAGAGCUUGCUCUUACGGGUGGCGAGUGGCGGACGGGUGAGGAAUACAUCGGAAUCUACUUUUUCGUGGGGGAUAACGUAGGGAAACUUACGCUAAUACCGCAUACGACCUACGGGUGAAAGCAGGGGAUCUUCGGACCUUGCGCGAUUGAAUGAGCCGAUGUCGGAUUAGCUAGUUGGCGGGGUAAAGGCCCACCAAGGCGACGCUCCGUAGCUGGUCUGAGAGGAUGAUCGGCCACACUGGAACUGAGACACGGUCCAGACUCCUACGGGAGGCAGCAGUGGGGAAUAUUGGACAAUGGGCGCAAGCCUGAUCCAGCCAUACCACGUGGGUGAAGAAGGCCUUCGGGUUGUAAAGCCCUUUUGUUGGGAAAGAAAAGCAGCAGGUUAAUACCCCGCUGUUCUGACGGUACCCAAAGAAUAAGCACCGGCUAACUUCGUG